UGUUUUAUAUAUUUUAUAGACAAAUGUAGUAAUAAAAAGGUCUUAGAAAAUAAAGGGUUUUCACUUUUUUAAUAGAUUCCUUUACAUAUAUUUUGUACAAAAGCCUCUGUAUGUGUGCUAUAGUGCUAGUGCUUCCCUUGUAAUUGUCUCACUGCUUUUAAACAUGUUUGCCAUAAUGAAAUAAGCAUUAUCUUGAUGUUAUCAUUUUCAUAGUUAGGGACCAUUUUCCUUUUUUGAAUUCCAUUAAGAAUCUAUUUUCUGCUACUGAGAAUAUGCCAAAGAAGGAGUCAUGUCAGAUUGACACUGCAGACUAGAAUUACUCUCCAGCUUCUAUUAUGUUAUGUUGUUAAUUGCCUUUUCAGGCACACUGGCAGUGCCCAGUGCUACUGGGAUUUCAUUGUUUACAAAGGUUAAGUGUAAUUUUAAUUAA
RNAcentral lists this long non-coding RNA (430 nucleotides) under Medicago truncatula (barrel medic). RNAcentral describes it as "lncRNA gene2067". The record is from RNAcentral. Lineage: Eukaryota; Viridiplantae; Streptophyta; Magnoliopsida; Fabales; Fabaceae.